RNAcentral lists this ribosomal RNA (482 nucleotides) under uncultured bacterium. RNAcentral's name for it is "partial 16S ribosomal RNA". It matches the Rfam family "Bacterial small subunit ribosomal RNA", at positions 30 to 507 of the family's 1533-position model. The record is from RNAcentral.
AUUGAACGCUGGCGGCAUGCCUUACACAUGCAAGUCGAACGGUAACAGGUCUUCGGAUGCUGACGAGUGGCGAACGGGUGAGUAAUACAUCGGAACGUGCCCGAUCGUGGGGGAUAACGAGGCGAAAGCUUUGCUAAUACCGCAUACGAUCUACGGAUGAAAGCGGGGGAUCUUCGGACCUCGCGCGGACGGAGCGGCCGAUGGGAGAUUAGGUAGUUGGUGGGAUAAAAGCUUACCAAGCCGACGAUUUGUAGCUGGUCUGAGAGGAUGAUCAGCCACACUGGGACUGAGACACGGCCCAGACUCCUACGGGAGGCAGAAGUGGGGAAUUUUGGACAAUGGGCGAAAGCCUGAUCCAGCCAUGCCGCGUGCAGGAUGAAGGCCUUCGGGUUGUAAACUGCUUUUGUACGGAACGAAAAGCCUCUUUCUAAUAAAGAGGGGUCAUGACGGUACCGUAAGAAUAAGCACCGGCUAACUACGUG